UAUACAACUGAGAAAGCUAUU
This 21-nucleotide unclassified non-coding RNA is filed under the name Influenza B virus. Its description in RNAcentral is "3' vRNA from Influenza B virus (PDB 8BF5, chain R)". The record is from RNAcentral. Lineage: Riboviria; Orthornavirae; Negarnaviricota; Insthoviricetes; Articulavirales; Orthomyxoviridae.